GGGCCGGCUCUGCGACAGGGGGCGCCAGGAUCCUAGAGGACGCUGCGCACCCUGAAUUAAUCGAGGAGCCUCUAAAGUUCUCCAGAAGCAACUAGAACUCCUGGGACCAUUAUAGCGAUGCGAAUGCCACAGGUGGGGGUUGGGUAAGAAGGGGCCUCAGGAUGGGAGACACCCCCUCCAGCGCUACAGUCCCCCUUAUGGGUGGAGCCCCCCGAUGGUGCACGCGUGGAAAUCCUCUGGUCCCUUAGGGCCUCCAGUCACGCCACCCACACCCCACCAGGCAGGCGAGGGUAGCCCCCUGCACCCUGCUUCUCUCUGCACUGCUCCCCGUUAAGUUCUCUGAGGAGGAAAAAAAAAAAAGCAAACAAAUUCUCCCGGGAGGAGAAACCUUGAGUCUAAUUAGCGUUUAGGCUUCUCAUUGAGAAAUCCUUUCUCACAUUCUUCCCGGCCAGCGUUGAUGGAGGGAGAGAUGGCACCUAGGAUUUGGGCAGAUGGGGUUCAGGGGGAGCAGUGAGCAAGGGAGAGGGACACUCCACCUUUGGUUGAGGCCCCCUCUGCACAGGUGGUUGGCUUCCCCUCUCAGACCAGCAGGAGGGAAUUUAACCAUCUGGGUCAGACCUCCUGGAGGGGAGACAGAUUGUGCUUCUCCUGAUGCCCCUGGACUCCCGGCCCUAUUGCUGGGUUCUUUGAAGCCUGGACCCUGACUGCUGGUCUGUGUUGCCCCCAGGCACGCCCUCUCCUGUGAAGGUGCUGAGUCAGGCCAGGCCCUCAGGCCCCUGCCUGGCCCAGCCAGCCCGCUGCUGCCCCCCUGCGGCCCUGCAGAGAAAGCUGCCCAUCCCCGCCUGGCUGUCCCACUACUCUGUGCAGUGGCUGAAGAUGGACUUUAUCGCCAGUACGGCCUCUGCUCUGCCUUCAUGGGUGUAUUUCUUCCUGGGAACCUCCCGGGAUGUGACUCUGGGCCCCACGGCCAUCAUGUCCCUCCUGGUCUCCUUCUGCACCUUCCGUGAGCCCGCCUGUGCUGUGCUGCUGGCCUUCCUGUGGGGCUGCAUGCAGUUAGCCAUGGGCUCCUGCGCUUGGGCAUCUGUCACUUCCGGAAUCCACUCCAACCAGGAGGAGGAGAGUCACUCCAAGGCGUAUGCAAUGGAAUCUUCAGGAGUUUUUAGUGUUAAAACUGGAAAUUUCAAAGAUUCAAUUCUUGACGAUUG
Long non-coding RNA from Diceros bicornis minor, 1205 nucleotides. RefSeq lists it as uncharacterized. The transcript is spliced from 3 exons. Lineage: Eukaryota; Metazoa; Chordata; Mammalia; Perissodactyla; Rhinocerotidae. The record is from RefSeq and is a predicted model, not a curated record.